Molecule: ribosomal RNA, 369 nt
Filed under: Enterobacter bugandensis
Lineage: Bacteria; Pseudomonadati; Pseudomonadota; Gammaproteobacteria; Enterobacterales; Enterobacteriaceae
Description: bacterial SSU rRNA
Rfam family: Bacterial small subunit ribosomal RNA
Source: RNAcentral
UUGCACAAUGGACGAAAGUCUGAUGCAGCAACGCCGCGUGGAGGAUGACACAUUUCGGUGCGUAAACUCCUUUUAUAUGAGAAGAUAAUGACGGUAUUAUAUGAAUAAGCACCGGCUAACUCCGUGCCAGCAGCCGCGGUAAUACGGGGGGUGCAAGCGUUACUCGGAAUCACUGGGCGUAAAGAGCAUGUAGGCGGAUUGAUAAGUUUGAAGUGAAAUCCUAUAGCUUAACUAUAGAACUGCUUUGAAAACUGUUAAUCUAGAAUGUGGGAGAGGUAGAUGGAAUUUCUGGUGUAGGGGUAAAAUCCGUAGAGAUCAGAAGGAAUACCGAUUGCGAAGGCGAUCUACUGGAACAUUAUUGACGCUGAG